RNAcentral lists this ribosomal RNA (433 nucleotides) under uncultured bacterium. Its description in RNAcentral is "partial 16S ribosomal RNA". It matches the Rfam family "Bacterial small subunit ribosomal RNA", at positions 29 to 507 of the family's 1533-position model. The record is from RNAcentral.
AACGAACGCUGGCGGCAUGCCUAACACAUGCAAGUCGAACGAGACCUUCGGGUCUAGUGGCGCACGGGUGCGUAACGCGUGGGAACCUGCCCUUAGGUUCGGAAUAACUCCCCGAAAGGGGUGCUAAUACCGGAUAAUGUCUUCGGACCAAAGAUUUAUCGCCUUUGGAUGGGCCCGCGUUGGAUUAGCUAGUUGGUAGGGUAAAAGCCUACCAAGGCGACGAUGCAUAGCUGGUCUGAGAGGAUGAUCAGCCACACUGGGACUGAGACACGGCCCAGACUCGUACGGGAGGCAGCAGUGGAGAAUAUUGGACAAUGGGCGAAAGCCUGAUCCAGCAAUGCCGCGUGAGUGAUGAAGGCCUUAGGGUUGUAAAGCUCUUUUACCCGAGAUGAUAAUGACAGUACCGGGAGAAUAAGCUCCGGCUAACUCCGUG